Ictidomys tridecemlineatus (thirteen-lined ground squirrel) is the source of this 751-nucleotide non-coding RNA. Lineage: Eukaryota; Metazoa; Chordata; Mammalia; Rodentia; Sciuridae. The record is from RefSeq and is a predicted model, not a curated record.
UCCUAUGAGCACAAGGAACUGAGUUCAGUCAACAACCUGAAUCAAUCUGAAACAACCCAAAAGAGGAUUCUUUCCCAGAACCUCCAGAAAAUGAACACAGUCCUACUGAUUUCCUUAAUUUAGUAAUGAAAUUAGAGUUUAUAUAUGGAAAUUAUGUACAUAACAUGGCUGUAGAAGCCACCAAAGUGAGUAGAUUGCCCUGAAUGAAGAGAGAACAGAAGAGAGAACAGAAUUUAGAGGAAGAUUUACCAAACCACCAGAAAAAGAUCCAACAGAAAGACUGAUAAAUUCUGACCAGAAAGACAAGAUCUGAGAAGGACAAUGUCUUAGAGUCCAGCUGCUGAAAACGUAUCAGGUCUGUGAUUUCUGACAAUUUUACUCAUGUAACCACCAUCUUAACCAAAAGGCAGAAGAAGUCCGUCACCAUCUCACAUCCUCCAACCCCCAAAUAUCCUUCUGCUAUUGCUUUGUAGUUGAUCCCUCCCCACACUCUUAAUAUAUUCAUCUUAUAGUUCUACAUUUUACAGAAUGAAACCGAUAAAUGUGUGCCUUUUUGAACCUACCUUCUUUUACUUCAUAUAAUACAUGUUAAAUUCUCCCAUGUUGCUUUAUGUAUUAAUAAUUCAUUUCUUUUUAUUCCUGAAUAGUAUUCUAUUUUAUAGAUAUCCACUGUUAUUCUAUCCUUCCCUCAAUUGAGGAAUGUUUUGGUUGUUUCCAGUUUGGGCGACCGUGAAUAAAGCUGUUACAAAUA